RNAcentral lists this transfer RNA (87 nucleotides) under Rhizobium leguminosarum. RNAcentral's name for it is "tRNA-Ala". RNAcentral also lists the same sequence under 1 other name. The record is from RNAcentral. Lineage: Bacteria; Pseudomonadati; Pseudomonadota; Alphaproteobacteria; Hyphomicrobiales; Rhizobiaceae.
AAGGAUCGCCUGGCGGCGGCAGGAGGCGGUCUCGCAGAUCGCCAGCAAUGCGUUGAGCUUGGCGCGUUCGACCCGUUUGAUCUCCGC